RNAcentral lists this small RNA (1467 nucleotides) under Pan troglodytes (chimpanzee). RNAcentral describes it as "retained intron". The record is from RNAcentral. Lineage: Eukaryota; Metazoa; Chordata; Mammalia; Primates; Hominidae.
GAGGCCCUGAAUCGUGAGCAGGAAAGUGCCAGACUGCAGCAACGGGAAAGAGAGACACUGGAGGAGGAAAGGCAAGCUCUGACUCUGAGGUUGGAGGCAGAACAGCAGCGGUGCUGUGUCCUGCAGGAAGAGCGGGAUGCAGCUCGGGCUGGGCAACUGAGUGAGCAUCGAGAGUUGGAGACUCUUCGGGCUGCCCUAGAAGAAGAACGGCAGACCUGGGCCCAGCAAGAGCACCAGCUUAAGGAACACUACCAGGCGCUGCAGGAGGAGAGCCAGGCUCAGUUGGAAAGGGAGAAGGAGAAGAGCCAGAGGGAAGCCCAGGCCGCCUGGGAGACCCAGCACCAGUUGGCAUUGGUGCAGUCUGAGGUGCGGCGGCUGGAAGGAGAGCUGGAUACAGCUCGGAGAGAGAGAGAUGCCCUGCAGCUGGAAAUGAGCUUGGUGCAGGCCCGGUAUGAAAGCCAGCGGAUCCAGCUGGAGUCGGAGCUGGCUGUGCAGCUGGAGCAGCGGGUGACAGAGCGGCUGGCGCAGGCUCAGGAGAGCAGCCUACGGCAAGCAGCCUCCCUCAGGGAACAUCACAGGAAGCAGCUGCAGGACCUGAGUGGACAGCACCAGCAGGAGCUGGCCAGUCAGCUAGCUCAGUUCAAGGUGGAAAUGGCAGAACGAGAGGAACGGCAACAGCAGGUGGCUGAGGACUACGAGCUCAGGUCCUGGUCCCCAGAGUGCCCCUUUCAGGCCCCAGCCCCUUUGCCAUGGGUAGAGCCCAAACUGGGAACGGUGAAGAGCUGCUCCCUUGAUUGAUCUGUCCUCCUCUACAUGGGCCCCAGCUCCUUUGAGAAUAUCAGAUGUCCAACAUUCCCUUCUGGCUCUUUUUAGCUCCCAAGUAUCUGCUUCCUUAAAGGCCCUGAGUCACUUCUUCUCUCUUUGCUUCAGACUGGCCCGGGAGCAAGCGCGAGUGUGCGAACUGCAGAGUGGGAACCAGCAGCUGGAGGAGCAGCGGGUGGAGCUGGUGGAAAGACUGCAGGCCAUGCUGCAGGCCCACUGGGAUGAGGCCAACCAGCUGCUCAGCACCACUCUCCCGCCGCCCAACCCUCCAGCUCCUCCUGCUGGACCCUCCAGCCCUGGGCCUCAGGAGCCGGAGAAGGAGGAGAGGAGGGUCUGGACUAUGCCUCCCAUGGCCGUGGCCCUGAAGCCUGUAUUGCAGCAGAGCCGGGAAGCAAGGGACGAGCUACCUGGAGCGCCUCCUGUUCUUUGCAGUUCCUCCUCAGAUCUUAGCCUCCUGUUGGGCCCCUCUUUUCAGAGCCAGCAUUCUUUCCAGCCCCUGGAGCCCAAACCAGACCUCACUUCAUCCACAGCUGGGGCCUUCUCUGCACCUGGGGCCUUCCAUCCCGAUCAUAGGGCAGAAAGGCCAUUCCCUGAGGAAGAUCCUGGACCUGACGGGGAGGGCCUCCUAAAGCAAGGGCUGCCGCC